This 2169-nucleotide long non-coding RNA is filed under the name Schizosaccharomyces pombe (fission yeast). The record is from RNAcentral. Lineage: Eukaryota; Fungi; Ascomycota; Schizosaccharomycetes; Schizosaccharomycetales; Schizosaccharomycetaceae.
AUAAAAGUAUCAAAUACCAUUGUCAAUGGAUGCAAAAGUCUUAUUACAAUAAUGACACUGUAGUUAUAGAAUUCUGAGAAGGGACAUAAUAUUGGUAUUCAGCAUGCAAAAUUUUUAAAGCCAAUAAGUUCAUAAAUGCACUAAUCCAAAAGUUCAGUAACCAAAGCUGUGCCUACAGUGCUUCCACCCUCACGAACUGUGAAGCGUUGUCCUUUUUCGAUGACAAUGGGGUGAAUAAGCGUACAGAUCAUCUCGACAUUGUCUCCAGGCAUAACCAUUUUGUCUGAGUCGUUAGGAUCAGGGUGGGUAAGUUCGACAGUAACGUCGGAAGUACGACUGUACAGUUGGGGACGAUACUUGUCAACGAAACCGGUACGACGACCUCCUUCCUCUUUUGUCAAAAUAUAGAAUGAUGCCUUGAAUUUCUGAUGAGGAGCAACGGUUCCUGGUUGAGCGACAAUCAUUCCACGUUUUAAUUGCUCUCGCUUGAUAGAACGAAGUAAAAGGCCACAAUUGUCACCGGCAACGGCGGCAUCAAGCUGCUUUUUGAACAUUUCAAUUCCAGUAACGGUAGUCUUUAAAUGGCUACCAUAACCGACGAUUUCGAUUUCAGCACCCUUCUUUAAAGUACCGCGCUCGACACGGCCAGUGACUACAGUUCCGCGACCUGAAAUUGAAAAAACGUCCUCGAUGGCCAUCAAGAAAGGGACAUCCGUUUUUCUUUCAGGAAGAGUAAUAUAACUAUCAACAGCUUCCAUCAAUUUAGUAAUACUAUUGAGACCAAUCUCAGGCUCACGACCCUCUAAGGCACAUAAAGCACUGCCGCUAACAAUUGGAGUAUUGUCACCAUCAAAUCCGUAUUCGGAGAGUAGCUCACGCAUUUCCAUUUCGACAAGCUCGAUCAUAUCAGGCUCGACCAUAUCGACUUUAUUGAUGUAUACAACAAUUUGCUUUACACCGACUUGACGAGCCAGAAGCAAAUGUUCACGAGUUUGAGGCAUUUGACCAUCGGUAGCAGAAACAACAAUGAUAGCGCCAUCCAUUGUAGCAGCACCAGUAAUCAUAUUCUUAAUGUAAUCGGCGUGACCAGGACAAUCCACAUGGGCAUAGUGACGAUUAGCAGUUUCGUAUUCAACAUGGGCAGAUGAAAUGGUAAUACCACGUGCCUUUUCCUCGGGGGCCUUGUCAAUUUGACUAUAAUCCAUAAAACUAGCUUGACCAAGAUCAGAAAGGCAUUUAGUAAUAGCAGCCGUCAACGUCGUUUUACCGUGGUCAACAUGACCAAUAGUACCAAUAUUGACAUGCGGCUUUUUUCUAACGAACACCUUAAAAAAGUUAACAAGUAAUCAAAAAGAUGAAGAAUGAAAAAAAAAUACCUUUUCGUCAGCAUAAGUUCGAGCUGGGACGGUGAACCGGUUAAUCAAACCUGAAGCGAAAGAAAUGCGGUUCAAUCGCAAGCAAUUUUUUCUAAAGCCUUGAAAGAGGAGAGAGGUAGCUUUAGCUGAAUUCAUAACGAAGGGAGCGUGUAGGCAGAGGAGAGGUCUCUGGCGCUCGUGUUGUCCUUGAAAUAAGUCUCAGCGGUGCGCAUCGUUAUGAGAAUACUAUUGACACGAGCAUUUCAUGAAAUAAAUGGUCCUGGGUGUUUGGAUACAAUCAAUAUUUGUAGAAUUUAUUUUAUUUUGUUCUAUUUUACCGCUACGCCUAUAUAUGAUGAUACGCUUGUUAAUAAUAAAAAAAUACUAGAUGAACUAGUGAACAACACCGCCAAAUCGAAAGCAAUUGAUAGUUUUUUUUUAUUUGCACAAUGAAUGGUAUUAUGUCUCUGAUCUCUAAAGGAAUGUCAAUCUGAUUUUGCUAGAUCGCAAGAGCAACCACCAUGCAAGCAAAAAUCGCUUACUAUCCUGUCAAGUACAAAGAAUAAAACCAUUAAUGAAAAGUCUCAAUGACAAAGCUCAGCGUCUCGUGAAUGUUGGUUAACUUCGAAGAGUCUUUUGCUUUUAUUAAGUAAAAGGAUGUAAGGAAUAACAAGAAGUGGUGCGUGACUAAAGAAAGAUAAAACUAUCCAUCCAACGGAAUAAAGGAAAAUCAAACUUUUCUGUAAUAUAGAAUACUCAAAUCAAAAGUCGUUACUAUUGUACGAAGAAGCACCUCUAAAGCGAAAAAUUUUAA